GGCCCCAUCGUCUAGUGGUCUAGGACGCCAGGUUCUCAUCCUGGUAACCUGGGUUCGACUCCCAGUGGGGUCACCA
This 76-nucleotide transfer RNA is filed under the name Candidatus Woesebacteria bacterium. RNAcentral's name for it is "tRNA-Glu". It matches the Rfam family "tRNA". From Rfam's summary of the family: Transfer RNA (tRNA) molecules are approximately 80 nucleotides in length. Their secondary structure includes four short double-helical elements and three loops (D, anti-codon, and T loops). Lineage: Bacteria; Candidatus Woeseibacteriota. The record is from RNAcentral.